GGCCCCAUAGUGAAGCGGUUAACACGCCAGUCUUUCAAGCUGGCAGCGCGGGUUCGAAUCCCGCUGGGGUCACCA
Molecule: transfer RNA, 75 nt
Filed under: Bacillota bacterium
Lineage: Bacteria; Bacillati; Bacillota
Description: tRNA-Glu
Rfam family: tRNA
About the family: Transfer RNA (tRNA) molecules are approximately 80 nucleotides in length. Their secondary structure includes four short double-helical elements and three loops (D, anti-codon, and T loops).
Source: RNAcentral